Molecule: non-coding RNA, 188 nt
Filed under: Roseovarius litorisediminis
Lineage: Bacteria; Pseudomonadati; Pseudomonadota; Alphaproteobacteria; Rhodobacterales; Roseobacteraceae
Source: RNAcentral
CCAAAGUCAAAUCUCCAAGGUGCCGCCUUUCGGGGUGGAGAAUUGGGAAGCCGGUGAAAUUCCGGCGCUGCCCCCGCAACGGUAAGGAUGGGGGAUGCCGCAACCAGCCACUGGGCCGCAAGGUCUGGGAAGGCGCUGCAUCCAGAACCCCGCCAAGCCCGGAAACCAGCCCUGGAACACGACGUCAA